Molecule: non-coding RNA, 28 nt
Filed under: Mus musculus (house mouse)
Lineage: Eukaryota; Metazoa; Chordata; Mammalia; Rodentia; Muridae
Source: RNAcentral
UAAGAAAAAUGUCUGAGGCUCAAACGGC